UCGGGAAUUUUGGGCAAUGGGCGAAAGCCUGACCCAGCAACGCCGCGUGAGGGAUGAAGUAUUUCGGUAUGUAAACCUCGAAAGAAUGGGAAGAAUAAAUGACGGUACCAUUUAUAAGCUCCGGCUAACUACGUGCCAGCAGCCGCGGUAAUACGUAGGGAGCAAGCGUUGUUCGGAUUUACUGGGCGUAAAGGGCGCGUAGGCGGCGCGGUAAGUCACUUGUGAAAUCUCUGAGCUUAACUCAGAACGGCCAAGUGAUACUGCUGUGCUAGAGUGCGGAAGAGGCAACCGGAAUUCUUGGUGUAGCGGUGAAAUUCGUAGAUAUCAAGAGGAACACCUGAGGCGAAGGCGGGUUGCUGGGCCGACACUGACGCUGAUGCGCGAGAGCCAGGGGAGCAAACG
RNAcentral lists this ribosomal RNA (402 nucleotides) under uncultured bacterium. RNAcentral describes it as "bacterial SSU rRNA". It matches the Rfam family "Bacterial small subunit ribosomal RNA", at positions 355 to 774 of the family's 1533-position model. The record is from RNAcentral.